Molecule: transfer RNA, 75 nt
Filed under: Camelimonas lactis
Lineage: Bacteria; Pseudomonadati; Pseudomonadota; Alphaproteobacteria; Hyphomicrobiales; Chelatococcaceae
Also listed under: 5 other names
Description: tRNA-Glu
Rfam family: tRNA
About the family: Transfer RNA (tRNA) molecules are approximately 80 nucleotides in length. Their secondary structure includes four short double-helical elements and three loops (D, anti-codon, and T loops). Further hydrogen bonds mediate the characteristic L-shaped molecular structure. tRNAs have two regions of fundamental functional importance: the anti-codon, which is responsible for specific mRNA codon recognition, and the 3' end, to which the tRNAs corresponding amino acid is attached (by aminoacyl-tRNA synthetases). tRNAs cope with the degeneracy of the genetic code in two manners: having more than one tRNA (with a specific anti-codon) for a particular amino acid; and 'wobble' base-pairing, i.e. permitting non-standard base-pairing at the 3rd anti-codon position.
Source: RNAcentral
GCGCCCAUCGUCUAUCGGUUAGGACGCCAGCCUUUCACGCUGGAGAGAGGGGUUCGACUCCCCUUGGGCGCGCCA